This 910-nucleotide long non-coding RNA is filed under the name Salmo salar (Atlantic salmon). Its description in RNAcentral is "lncRNA (ENSSSAG00000113135.1)". Lineage: Eukaryota; Metazoa; Chordata; Actinopteri; Salmoniformes; Salmonidae. The record is from RNAcentral.
CUUUAUGAGGUGCAACCAAAACAGCUGUUUGACAUAGCAACAGGGAUAUUCGGUCAAGGUGUCUCUCUGGCAUUUGUUCUUAAUACCGUUGUGGUUUUGAUCACUAAAAUGGCUGUGACUUUUGGACUCUCGUUGAGUGUUUCUUGGAUUUGCUGUCUGCUAAUUGGAGGGAUAACUUGUUUUACACUUAAAGGUAAUUCUAAUGGGCAUCAUGCCUACACUGGACCUGAACCAACUGGAUCCUAUGCCAAAGCAAGUGUGGUGCCUAGUCCAAAUGCUAAAGCUACUGGCCACAAUGCCACGUCAGCAGAAGCUACUGGCCACAAUGCCACGUCAGCAGAAGCUACUGGCCACAAUGCCACGUCAGCAGAAUCUACUGGCCACAAUGCCACGUCAGCAGAAUCUACUGGCCACAAUGCCCCGUCAAGUGUGAAGUCCGGCCCCGGCGCCUCAGCAGAAGCGUCAGGCCCCGGCGCCUCAGCAGAAGCGUCAGGCCCCGGCGCCUCAGCAGAAGCGUCAGGCCCCGGCGCCUCAGCAGAAGCGUCAGGCCCCGGCGCCUCAGCAGAAGCGUCAGGCCCCGGCGCCUCAGCAGAAGCGUCAGGCCCCGGCGCCUCAGCAGAAGCGUCAGGCCCCGGCGCCUCAGCAGAAGCGUCCGGCCCCGCGCCUCAGCAGAAGCCUCAGCAAUAGCGUCCGGCGCCUCAGCAAUAGCGUCCGGCGCCUCAGCGGAAGCGUCAAGCCUUGAACAGACCGCCCGACCACUCAACUAGGGAGAUCAUAAUUUGGUUUGCAUAACUCCUUAAUUGUCGUUCCCCUGUUACUGUGCCUCCCUUUAGAAGAAAAGGUAACUGAGGUGGAGAAAUGUGCCAACUAAUGCUCUUGUUUGAAAUGAGGAUCUCCUUCACUUGUCCAG